RNAcentral lists this ribosomal RNA (520 nucleotides) under uncultured bacterium. RNAcentral describes it as "bacterial SSU rRNA". It matches the Rfam family "Bacterial small subunit ribosomal RNA", at positions 791 to 1306 of the family's 1533-position model. The record is from RNAcentral.
UAGUCCACGCCGUAAACGAUGUCAACUAGCUGUUGGAAAACUAUGUUUUUCAGUGGCGCAGCUAACGUAGUAAGUUGACCGCCUGGGGAGUACGGCCGCAAGGCUAAAACUCAAAUGAAUUGACGGGGACCCGCACAAGCGGUGGAGCAUGUGGUUUAAUUCGAUGCAACGCGAAAAACCUUACCUAUACUUGACAUACUUGGAAUGCUUUGUAAUGAAGCAGUGCCUUCGGGAGCCAAGAUACAGGUGCUGCAUGGCUGUCGUCAGCUCGUGUCGUGAGAUGUUCCGUUAAGUCGGAUAACGAGCGCAACCUUACCCUUAUUUGCCAGCGAUUCGGUCGGGAACUAUAAGGGGACUGCCGGUGAUAAACCGGAGGAAGGUGAGGACGACGUCAAGUCAUCAUGGCUCUUACGGGGUAGGGGCUACACACGUGCUACAAUGGGGCGGUACAGAGGGGUUGCGAAGCCGCGAGGUGGAGCUAAUCUCACAAAACCGUUCGUAAGUCCGGGAUUGGGAGUCU